Molecule: ribosomal RNA, 466 nt
Filed under: uncultured bacterium
Lineage: Bacteria
Description: bacterial SSU rRNA
Rfam family: Bacterial small subunit ribosomal RNA
Source: RNAcentral
CGAACGCUGGCGGCGUGCCUAAAACAUGCAAGUCGAACGAGGUCCACCCAGUGGCAACACUGGUGAAGACCUAGUGGCGAACGGGUGAGUAACACGUGAGGAACCUGCCCCGAAGACCGGGAUAACCCUCCGAAAGGAGAGCUAAUACCGGAUACCCCCACCAGAUCGCAUGGUCAGGUGAGGAAAUGCAUUGUGCUUCGGGAGGGCCUCGCGGCCUAUCAGCUUGUUGGUGGGGUAACGGCCCACCAAGGCGUCGACGGGUAGCUGGUCUGAGAGGACGAUCAGCCACACUGGGGCUGAGACACGGCCCAGACUCCUACGGGAGGCAGCAGUUAGGAAUCUUGCGCAAUGGGCGAAAGCCUGACGCAGCAACGCCGCGUGGGGGAUGAAGGCCUUCGGGUUGUAAACCCCUUUCAGUCGGGACGAAAAUGACGGUACCGACAGAAGAAGCCCCGGCCAACUACGU